This is an RNA transcript of Elaeis guineensis (African oil palm), 843 nucleotides long. RefSeq lists it as uncharacterized. The record is from RefSeq and is a predicted model, not a curated record. Lineage: Eukaryota; Viridiplantae; Streptophyta; Magnoliopsida; Arecales; Arecaceae.
AAGCCCCCUCCAAAACCCUACCACAGCCCCAUUCAAAAAGGCCCCUUCUCCCCUAAUCUAUAUAGCUUCAACCCCUUCCUCGUCCUUAGAAAAGCAGAGGAAGGGAAAUAGAGGCAAGUACAAGCAAUGGCUAGAAAAAGAAAUCCCAUCCUUGGGAGGGCAUGGGACCUCAUAGCCCUCUCCAUCUCUCCCAUAGCCAAAAUGAAAAGACCCAUCAGCCGAAAGCUCUUAUUCUUCAAAAGGUCUAAAAGAUUCAGGCUCCGCAAGCACUACAACUACGCCUUUGUUGGAGAGUACGAGUUCUCUCCUUCCAGCACUCCUCUCGUACGCCACCCUCGCACUCCCUCGAAAAAGAAGAGCUGUUUCUUAUGUCUUCCAUGUGGUGGGAAUGACACCGAGUCCAUUGGUGAAGAAAGCAUCGGAGAUGAAUGGGAGAUGUUGUUACCAUAUGUUGAUGAAUCUAGGCAGGAGCCGUCCGAGCUUUCAGAGCCAAGGGAAGAUAAUGGUUCAUCAUCUAUUGAUCAGAAAGCAGAGAAGUUCAUAGAGAGAUUCUAUCAAGAGAUGAGGAUUCAGAGGCAAGAGUCUAUGAUGCACUAUAUGGAGAUGCUUAAUAUAAGUUCUUAGAUUUUUAUAUAUUUUGCAUUUCCCCUCUUUUGUUUUCAUUAGUUUUGGUUGUCCACUUCUCUGCAAGUGAGAUACUAGCAUGUUUGGCUACGGAGAAGUUUUAUAUCUUUGUUGUUUGAUUUGUUUCAAAUGAUUUGUCUUGUUUCAUUCUGUUAUUUGAAAAUUAUGAUUGAUGUGAGUAGACAAUGUUAUGUAUGACUUAGUUUUCACUGUGUUCAA